This 2930-nucleotide ribosomal RNA is filed under the name Proteus vulgaris. RNAcentral describes it as "23S ribosomal RNA". It matches the Rfam family "Bacterial large subunit ribosomal RNA". Lineage: Bacteria; Pseudomonadati; Pseudomonadota; Gammaproteobacteria; Enterobacterales; Morganellaceae. The record is from RNAcentral.
GGGUUGUGAGGUUAAGCGAAUAAGCGUACACGGUGGAUGCCUAGGCAAUCAGAGGCGAUGAAGGACGUGCUAAUCUGCGAUAAGCGUCGGUAAGGUGAUAUGAACCGUUAUACCCGACGAUUUCCGAAUGGGGAAACCCAAUAUCCAAUGGAUAUUAUCAUGACGUGAAUACAUAGUGUCAUGAAGCGAACCGGGAGAACUGAAACAUCUCAGUACCCCGAGGAAAAGAAAUCAACCGAGAUUCCCCUAGUAGCGGCGAGCGAACGGGGAACAGCCCAGAGUCUUAAUCAAUAGCAGCAUCAGGAGAACGGUCUGGAAAGUCCGGCAGUAAAGGGUGAUAGCCCCGUAUCUGAAGAUGCUGUUAUUGUGAACUCGAUGAGUAGGGCGGGACACGUGUUAUCCUGUCUGAAUAUGGGGGGACCAUCCUCCAAGGCUAAAUACUCCUGAUUGACCGAUAGUGAACCAGUACCGUGAGGGAAAGGCGAAAAGAACCCCGGCGAGGGGAGUGAAAAAGAACCUGAAACCGUGUACGUACAAGCAGUAGGAGCCUCUUUAUGGGGUGACUGCGUACCUUUUGUAUAAUGGGUCAGCGACUUAUAUUCUGUAGCAAGGUUAACCGUAUAGGGGAGCCGUAGGGAAACCGAGUCUUAACUGGGCGAAUGAGUUGCAGGGUAUAGACCCGAAACCCGGUGAUCUAUCCAUGGGCAGGUUGAAGGUUGGGUAACACUAACUGGAGGACCGAACCGACUAAUGUUGAAAAAUUAGCGGAUGACUUGUGGAUGGGGGUGAAAGGCCAAUCAAACCGGGAGAUAGCUGGUUCUCCCCGAAAGCUAUUUAGGUAGCGCCUCGUGAACUCAUCUUCGGGGGUAGAGCACUGUUUCGACUAGGGGGUCAUCCCGACUUACCAACUCGAUGCAAACUGCGAAUACCGAAGAAUGUUAUCACGGGAGACACACGGCGGGUGCUAACGUCCGUCGUGAAGAGGGAAACAACCCAGACCGCCAGCUAAGGUCCCAAAGUCAUGGUUAAGUGGGAAACGAAGUGGGAAGGCUCAGACAGCCAGGAUGUUGGCUUAGAAGCAGCCAUCAUUUAAAGAAAGCGUAAUAGCUCACUGGUCGAGUCGGCCCGCGCGGAAGAUGUAACGGGGCUAAACCAUGCACCGAAGCUGCGGCAGCGACACUAUGUGUUGUUGGGUAGGGGAGCGUUCUGUAAGCCUGCGAAGGUGUACUGUGAGGUAUGCUGGAGGUAUCAGAAGUGCGAAUGCUGACAUAAGUAACGAUAAUGCGGGUGAAAAACCCGCACGCCGGAAGACCAAGGGUUCCUGUCCAACGUUAAUCGGGGCAGGGUGAGUCGACCCCUAAGGCGAGGCUGAAAAGCGUAGUCGAUGGGAAACGGGUUAAUAUUCCCGUACUGGUGGUAACUGCGAUGGGGGAACGGAGAAGGCUAGGUUGUCCGGGCGACGGUCGUCCCGGUUCAAGCAUGUAGGCAGAGUGAUUAGGCAAAUCCGGUCACUUAAUGCUGAGGUGUGAUGACGAGCCACUAAGGUGGUGAAGCAAUUGAUGCCCUGCUUCCAGGAAAAGCCUCUAAGCUUCAGGUUACCAACAAUCGUACCCCAAACCGACACAGGUGGUCAGGUAGAGAAUACUCAGGCGCUUGAGAGAACUCGGGUGAAGGAACUAGGCAAAAUGGUGCCGUAACUUCGGGAGAAGGCACGCUGGCGGUAAGUGAAGUCCCUCGCGGACGGAGCCGAAGCCAGUCGAAGAUACCAGCUGGCUGCAACUGUUUAUUAAAAACACAGCACUGUGCAAACACGAAAGUGGACGUAUACGGUGUGACGCCUGCCCGGUGCUGGAAGGUUAAUUGAUGGGGUUAUCCGUAAGGAGAAGCUCUUGAUCGAAGCCCCAGUAAACGGCGGCCGUAACUAUAACGGUCCUAAGGUAGCGAAAUUCCUUGUCGGGUAAGUUCCGACCUGCACGAAUGGCGUAAUGAUGGCCAGGCUGUCUCCACCCGAGACUCAGUGAAAUUGAACUCGCUGUGAAGAUGCAGUGUACCCGCGGCAAGACGGAAAGACCCCGUGAACCUUUACUAUAGCUUGACACUGAACAUUGAGCCUUGAUGUGUAGGAUAGGUGGGAGACUUUGAAGUGUGGACGCCAGUCUGCAUGGAGUCAACCUUGAAAUACCACCCUUUAACGUUUGAUGUUCUAACCUAGGUCCAUAAUCUGGAUCGGGGACCGUGUCUGGUGGGUAGUUUGACUGGGGCGGUCUCCUCCUAAAGAGUAACGGAGGAGCACGAAGGUUGGCUAAGCAUGGUCGGACAUCAUGCGGUUAGUGCAAAGGCAUAAGCCAGCUUGACUGUGAGAGUGACGGCUCGAGCAGGUACGAAAGUAGGUCUUAGUGAUCCGGUGGUUCUGAAUGGAAGGGCCAUCGCUCAACGGAUAAAAGGUACUCCGGGGAUAACAGGCUGAUACCGCCCAAGAGUUCAUAUCGACGGCGGUGUUUGGCACCUCGAUGUCGGCUCAUCACAUCCUGGGGCUGAAGUAGGUCCCAAGGGUAUGGCUGUUCGCCAUUUAAAGUGGUACGCGAGCUGGGUUUAGAACGUCGUGAGACAGUUCGGUCCCUAUCUGCCGUGGGCGUUGGAAGAUUGAGAGGGGUUGCUCCUAGUACGAGAGGACCGGAGUGAACGCACCACUGGUGUUCGGGUUGUCAUGCCAAUGGCAUUGCCCGGUAGCUAAGUGCGGAAGAGAUAACCGCUGAAAGCAUCUAAGCGGGAAACUUGCCUCGAGAUGAGUCUUCCCUGUCACCUUGAGUGACCUAAAGGAACGUUUAAGACUAAGACGUUGAUAGGCUGGGUGUGUAAGCGUAGCGAUACGUUGAGCUAACCAGUACUAAUGAACCGUGAGGCUUAACCUGACAACACCGAAGGUGUUU